UCUCAAGGUUGGAAGACCUGACAGUGUUCAGGAGCAGCAUUCUGGUACAGCUGUGUGUCAGUCCGCUGUGUGUCAGUCCGCUGUGUGUCAGUCCGCUGUGUGUCAGUCAGCUGUGUGUCAGUCCGCUGUCUGUGUGUCAGUCAGCUGUGUUUCAGUCAGCUGUGUGUCAGUCAGCUGUGUGUCAGUCAGCUGUGUGUCAGUGAGCUGUGUGUCAGUCAGCUGUGUGUCAGUCCUCUGUGUGUCAGUCCGCUGUGUGUCAGUCAGCUGUGUGUCAGUCCGCUGUGUGUCAGUCAGCUGUGUGUCAGUGAGCUGUGUGUCAGUCAGCUGUGUGUCAG
This is a long non-coding RNA of Oncorhynchus tshawytscha (Chinook salmon), 335 nucleotides long. The record is from Ensembl. Lineage: Eukaryota; Metazoa; Chordata; Actinopteri; Salmoniformes; Salmonidae.